UACGUAGGGUGCGAGCGUUAAUCGGAAUUACUGGGCGUAAAGCGUGCGCAGGCGGUUGUGCAAGUCCGAUGUGAAAUCCCCGGGCUCAACCUGGGAAUGGCAUUGGUGACUGCACGGCUAGAGUGUGUCAGAGGGGGGUAGAAUUCCACGUGUAGCAGUGAAAUGCGUAGAGAUGUGGAGGAAUACCGAUGGCGAAGGCAGCCCCCUGGGAUAACACUGACGCUCAUGCACGAAAGCGUGGGGAGCAAACAGG
RNAcentral lists this ribosomal RNA (253 nucleotides) under uncultured bacterium. Its description in RNAcentral is "partial 16S ribosomal RNA". It matches the Rfam family "Bacterial small subunit ribosomal RNA", at positions 524 to 776 of the family's 1533-position model. The record is from RNAcentral.